ACGUUGGAGGUUCGUCCUUCAGUGUCGCAGCUAACGCGUGAAGCAUUCCGCCUGGGGAGUACGGUCGCAAGAUUAAAACUCAAAGGAAUUGACGGGGGCCUGCACAAGCGGUGGAGCAUGUGGUUUAAUUCGACGCAACGCGCAAAACCUUACCAGCUUUUGACAUAGGGACAGAAGGCAUCAGAGAUGAAGCCUGCGGUUCGGCCGGGUCCCGUACAGGUGCUGCAUGGCUGUCGUCAGCUCGUGUCGUGAGAUGUUGGGUUAAGUCCCGCAACGAGCGCAACCCUCGUUCUUAGUUGCCAGCAGUUCGGCUGGGGACUCUAAGAAAACUGCCGGUGACAAGCCGGAGGAAGGUGGGGAUGAUGUCAGGUCCUCAUGGCCCUUAUGGGCUGGGCUACACACGUGCUACAAUGGCGAUCACAAUGAGAAGCAAGGGGGUGA
RNAcentral lists this ribosomal RNA (441 nucleotides) under uncultured Alphaproteobacteria bacterium. RNAcentral's name for it is "bacterial SSU rRNA". It matches the Rfam family "Bacterial small subunit ribosomal RNA", at positions 820 to 1260 of the family's 1533-position model. Lineage: Bacteria; Pseudomonadati; Pseudomonadota; Alphaproteobacteria. The record is from RNAcentral.